This 77-nucleotide transfer RNA is filed under the name Clostridium fungisolvens. RNAcentral's name for it is "tRNA-Arg". It matches the Rfam family "tRNA". From Rfam's summary of the family: Transfer RNA (tRNA) molecules are approximately 80 nucleotides in length. Lineage: Bacteria; Bacillati; Bacillota; Clostridia; Eubacteriales; Clostridiaceae. RNAcentral also lists the same sequence under 1 other name. The record is from RNAcentral.
GCUCCUAUAGCUCAGUUGGAUAGAGUGGUGGACUUCGAAUCCAUAGGUCGCAGGUUCGAACCCUGUUGGGAGCACCA